Molecule: ribosomal RNA, 253 nt
Filed under: uncultured bacterium
Lineage: Bacteria
Description: partial 16S ribosomal RNA
Rfam family: Bacterial small subunit ribosomal RNA
Source: RNAcentral
UACAGAGGGUGCGAGCGUUAAUCGGAAUUACUGGGCGUAAAGCGCGCGUAGGUGGUUUAGCAAGUCGGAUGUGAAAGCCCUGGGCUUAACCUGGGAAUUGCAUUCGAUACUACUAAGCUAGAGUACAGUAGAGGAAAGCGGAAUUCCACGUGUAGCGGUGAAAUGCGUAGAUAUGUGGAGGAACACCAGUGGCGAAGGCGGCUUUCUGGACUGAUACUGACGCUCAAGUGCGAAAGCGUGGGGAGCAAACAGG